Molecule: ribosomal RNA, 446 nt
Filed under: uncultured bacterium
Lineage: Bacteria
Description: partial 16S ribosomal RNA
Rfam family: Bacterial small subunit ribosomal RNA
Source: RNAcentral
UCCAGACUCCUACGGGAGGCAGCAGUGGGGGAUAUUGCACAAUGGGGGGAACCCUGAUGCAGCGACGCCGCGUGGGUGAAGGAGCGUUUCGGCGCGUAAAGCCCUAUCGGCAGGGAAGAAGGAGGACGGUACCUGACUAAGAAGCCCCGGCUAACUACGUGCCAGCAGCCGCGGUAAUACGUAGGGGGCAAGCGUUAUCCGGAUUUACUGGGUGUAAAGGGGGCGCAGACGGCAGCGCAAGCCAGGAGUGAAAGCCCGGGGCCCAACCCCGGGACUGCUCUUGGAACUGCGUGGCUGGAGUGCAGGAGGGGCAGGCGGAAUUCCUGGUGUAGCGGUGAAAUGCGUAGAUAUCAGGAGGAACACCGGUGGCGAAGGCGGCCUGCUGGACUGCAACUGACGUUGAGGCCCGAAAGCGUGAGGAGCAAACAGGAUUAGAUACCCUAGUA